Long non-coding RNA from Pyrus x bretschneideri (Chinese white pear), 750 nucleotides. RefSeq lists it as uncharacterized. The record is from RefSeq and is a predicted model, not a curated record. The transcript has 2 exons. NCBI's taxonomy places the organism in Eukaryota, Viridiplantae, Streptophyta, Magnoliopsida, Rosales, Rosaceae.
UAAAAGAAAAGACAAUGAAAGCGACACACCUGGGAUUCGAAGUGGUGACCUGCUGACAAGAAAGAAACAGAGGCGCUGGAAAAUAUUGGAAAAAGAAGCAAAAUUUCAGUGCUCUGGAGAGUUGAACCCGUGACAGGAAACAUGAACUAGAGGCCCGUUUCCACAUCUCUCCUAACUAGCGCCGUACCCGCGAGCCCAGAGCCGUGAAAGCUAUGUCUUUCAUUUCCUCUUUCCCUUCAUUUCUCAUGGAACUGAAACCCUAGCUUCUAUCAUCAACCCAGAACGUCAAAACAUGAAUCCAUCUCCAUCUCUGUCACAAACGGAACCCAGCCAUGGCGAUCUUUGAUUCUAGCCCAGAUUGUCACCAUCGUGCAUUCCUCUGCGAAAACCGAGACUUGGGGAUCCGAGUAAGGCCAAGGGGAAUAGAAACUGCAAGGAGCAAUGGCUCACAAUUGAAGGUGCUGUACACACAGCAAAGAUGGCUGCAAGAACUCGGAUCUACAAAAUGAAAGGUAAAUCAAAUCCCUCUACUGCGUUAAAAUUAAGCAUGGUUUAAUAUCUCUGAAAGUCAUACGGAUUUGUGAAGUGUUUCUGUCAUGCAUUUAUAGACCUAAAAUUUCGUCAAUGCUCAUGUAAUUUUCUGUGACAUGGCUUUGAUGAAUGCCCACCUCUGUGUUGCCUGGACCACCCCCAAACUAUGUGUAAAACAAUAUUUUAAUGAAAUAUGAGAGUAAGUGAGCGAAAGAUAAA